This 429-nucleotide ribosomal RNA is filed under the name Chloroflexota bacterium. Its description in RNAcentral is "Chloroflexi bacterium partial 16S ribosomal RNA". It matches the Rfam family "Bacterial small subunit ribosomal RNA", at positions 355 to 776 of the family's 1533-position model. Lineage: Bacteria; Bacillati; Chloroflexota. The record is from RNAcentral.
UGGGGAAUAUUGCACAAUGGGCGCAAGCCUGAUGCAGCCAUGCCGCGUGUAUGAAGAAGGCCUUCGGGUUGUAAAGUACUUUCAGCGGGGAGGAAGGGAGUAAAGUUAAUACCUUUGCUCAUUGACGUUACCCGCAGAAGAAGCACCGGCUAACUCCGUGCCAGCAGCCGCGGUAAUACGGAGGGUGCAAGCGUUAAUCGGAAUUACUGGGCGUAAAGCGCACGCAGGCGGUUGAUUGAGUCAGAUGUGAAAUCCCCGAGCUUAACCCGGGAAUUGCAUCUGAUACUGGUCAGCUAGAGUCUUGUAGAGGGGGGUAGAAUUCCAUGUGUAGCGGUGAAAUGCGUAGAGAUGUGGAGGAAUACCGGUGGCGAAGGCGGCCCCCUGGACAAAGACUGACGCUCAGGUGCGAAAGCGUGGGGAGCAAACAGG